This 85-nucleotide transfer RNA is filed under the name Candidatus Bathyarchaeota archaeon. Its description in RNAcentral is "tRNA-Leu". It matches the Rfam family "tRNA". Rfam says of the family: Transfer RNA (tRNA) molecules are approximately 80 nucleotides in length. Their secondary structure includes four short double-helical elements and three loops (D, anti-codon, and T loops). Further hydrogen bonds mediate the characteristic L-shaped molecular structure. tRNAs have two regions of fundamental functional importance: the anti-codon, which is responsible for specific mRNA codon recognition, and the 3' end, to which the tRNAs corresponding amino acid is attached (by aminoacyl-tRNA synthetases). tRNAs cope with the degeneracy of the genetic code in two manners: having more than one tRNA (with a specific anti-codon) for a particular amino acid; and 'wobble' base-pairing, i.e. permitting non-standard base-pairing at the 3rd anti-codon position. Lineage: Archaea; Thermoproteati; Candidatus Bathyarchaeota. The record is from RNAcentral. RNAcentral also lists the same sequence under 1 other name.
GCGGGGGUCGCAGAGCUAGGUCAAAUGCGCGGGACUCAAGAUCCCGUCCCGAAGGGGUUCGUGGGUUCAAAUCCCACCCCCCGCA